CUCCAGCCCCUUCCCAGCUCCCUCAGCAAUUCUCCAGCCCCUUCCCAGCUCCCUCAGCAAUUCUCCAGCCCCUUCCCAGCUCCCUCAGCAAUUCUCUGCCCCUCUUUAAAGUGAGGGGCCCAGAGCUGAUCCCAGGACUGGAGGUGCCUCAGCAGUGCCAGCACAGGGGAACAGUCACUGCUCCUCCUGUCACACCAUUCCAGGCACCUUUGGCCUUUUGCCCACCUUGGCACACCCAGGUUCACGUUCAGCUGCUUCAAGCAGAGCAGCUCUCGAGCCACUCCUCCCCACCCCUUUGCAGAAAUACAUCCCUGUACAGAAAUAAAUCCCUUUAUUUAUAUAUCCCAUUGUGUCCCAUGUCCAGUGUGUCCAGAGCCUGCAGCUGGGGAAGGAGAAGGGUCAGAGCUCAUUCUCCUCACUGCCGAGCUCUGAGACAACAAAUACUGCACCACUGCCUGUGGGGGUAUAAAAAUACAUGUUUUUCACAAAUAGCACUGCAUCACUGUGUCCGGAAUCCUCUUCCACUUUUCCACGUUAAGCACAUUGCUGAUGUGACCGUGUGGUUCUCCAUGAGCAAUCCAGGGACACGUCCUGGGCUGGAGCCUCUGAAGGGAAGCACAGAUGGUUUGGAGCUGGUGACAAUGCAGGUGACAAUGAGGGGAGCCAGCCCCACACUGCCCAGCACAGCUCUCCCAGCACGGCCCAGUUCAGUCCUGCACAUUGUCCCAGUUCAGGCCUGCAGGGUGGCCCAGCACAGCCCAGUUCAGCUCCCCAGGCUCUCCCAGUUCAGCUCCCCAGGCUCUCCCAGUUCAGCUCCCCAGGCUCUCCCAGUUCAGUGCCCCAGGCUCUCCCAGCCCAGUUCAGCUCCCCAGGCUCUCCCAGCCCAGUUCAGUGCCCCAGGCUCUCCCAGUUCAGCCCAGUUCAGCUCCCCAGGCUCUCCCAGUUC
This is a long non-coding RNA of Cyanistes caeruleus (blue tit), 946 nucleotides long. NCBI's taxonomy places the organism in Eukaryota, Metazoa, Chordata, Aves, Passeriformes, Paridae. The record is from Ensembl.